CCCAAAGUGCUGGGAUUACAGGUGUGAGCCACGGUGCCCGGCCUAGGACCUCUUUUAUAAGGGCACUAAUCCUAUUAAAGGGGGCUCUGCUCUCAUGGCCUAAUCGCUGUCCAAAGGCCCCAACUUCAAAUACCAUCACAUUGGGGAUUACCUUUCAGCUUCCGGAGGGCAUAAAUCUUUAUUAGUCUAUAGCAUUGUAUGAAAACUCUUUCCCUCCGUGUGGAGAGGAGGAAUGUCAAUGUCUAGAAAAGCUGGGUGUUAAAUGCAGAGGCUGAAGUUCAGUGGGACCUAAAAAAAAUGGGGGCUCAUCUUAAGUUAUGAUAAACUGAUAUAUAAGUUUGAUAAAUUGUAAAACAUCUUCAGAUACUGGUUCACUUAUUCAAUACUUAUUAAACACCUACUAUGUAUCAGGGGCUAUGCCAGUUCAUACAUACGCAUCUUAAAUACCCCAUGACCUCAAGGAACUCCCAGCUAUCUGGUAGUAAUGGAAAAUGCACAUAAAUAAUUACAGAGCUACAGUAAUUGUAGGGAAAAAACCAUGAAACCUCCUAACUCAAAGUAUAGCAUCUGCAUCUCCUGGGGCCAUCUAAGACUCCACCCCUCAACCCCGGAAUCUGCAGUUUAACAAGGAUCUCAGGUGAUUUGGAUCUUUAUUAAGAUUUGAGAGGUGGCCGGGCGCUCGGUGUCUAAGGCCUGUAAUCUCAGCACUUUGGGAGGCCAAGGUGGCCAGAUCACCUGAGGUCGGGAGUUCAAGACCAG
This 759-nucleotide long non-coding RNA is filed under the name Homo sapiens (human). Its description in RNAcentral is "HSALNT0399793". The record is from RNAcentral. Lineage: Eukaryota; Metazoa; Chordata; Mammalia; Primates; Hominidae.